AUUGAACGCUGGCGGCAUGCCUUACACAUGCAAGUCGAACGGCAGCACGGGAGCAAUCCUGGUGGCGAGUGGCGAACGGGUGAGUAAAGUAUCGGAACGUGCCCAGUCGUGGGGGAUAACGUAGCGAAAGUUACGCUAAUACCGCAUACGAUCUAUGGAUGAAAGCGGGGGAUCGCAAGACCUCGCGCGAUUGGAGCGGCCGAUAUCAGAUUAGGUAGUUGGUGGGGUAAGGCCCACCAAGCCGACGAUCUGUAGCUGGUCUGAGAGGACGACCAGCCACACUGGGACUGAGACACGGCCCAGACUCCUACGGGAGGCAGCAGUGGGGAAUUUUGGACAAUGGGCGAAAGCCUGAUCCAGCCAUGCCGCGUGCAGGAUGAAGGCCUUCGGGUUGUAAACUGCUUUUGUACGGAACGAAAAGGACUGCCCUACUACGGUGGUCCCAUGACGGUACCGUAAGAAUAAGCACCGGCUAACUACGUGCCAGCCGCCGCAGUAA
Molecule: ribosomal RNA, 499 nt
Filed under: uncultured bacterium
Lineage: Bacteria
Description: partial 16S ribosomal RNA
Rfam family: Bacterial small subunit ribosomal RNA
Source: RNAcentral